AUCUGAAAAAGGCAAAGCCACUGAAAGGUGGCGGCGCAAAAUCACCGGUCUAAGGGGCUUCAGCCCUAUGACGGCGGGAUCGCCAGA
RNAcentral lists this non-coding RNA (87 nucleotides) under Candidatus Contendibacter. Its description in RNAcentral is "Candidatus Contendobacter c-di-GMP sequence". It matches the Rfam family "c-di-GMP-I riboswitch aptamer". From Rfam's summary of the family: GEMM was predicted in a large-scale screen for bacterial structured RNA regulatory elements. RNAcentral also lists the same sequence under 1 other name. Lineage: Bacteria; Pseudomonadati; Pseudomonadota; Gammaproteobacteria; Candidatus Competibacteraceae. The record is from RNAcentral.